CUGUUCAAGUUCCCAGUGCACCCUCAUCUUUACACUGAGUGCUGCUGGGCUGUGUUGGUGACUCUUCCUUUGCAACUUUUCACUUAGAGGUACUCAGGACCAGACAUGACUGCAAUGGAUGCCAUAUGAACCACCUGCAACUGCCCCAUCCCCGUGCCAGGGCUCUGGAGCAGACACUGGCCGAGAGGUCAAAGCAGAUGUUGAUAACGAUAAAUGCUGAGAUUAAACCCAGAAGAAUCAGUCAUUUUCCUUAUGUCCUCCAAAUAAAUUCUAUUCCCAUUGAACAGGGGCUCAUUAUCACAGCAUUAUGAGAGGAGGGAUGUUGCCAUAUAACUAAUGUGAUGAUUUCAGGUACAGUUGCUGAUGCCUGAUUAAACAUCUCUGGGAUCAAGCAGA
Molecule: long non-coding RNA, 396 nt
Organism: Strigops habroptila (Kakapo)
Lineage: Eukaryota; Metazoa; Chordata; Aves; Psittaciformes; Psittacidae
Exons: 2
Source: RefSeq, a predicted model, not a curated record